GUUUGUUAUUGUUUGUGUGCUGUGAGUAAUGCAAAUAAAUUCUCUAUUUAUUAAAAAUUUGAUAUUUUGAAAACUUAUGCGUUUUUAAGAUAUAAAGCCAUCCGUCACCGCCCGACCAGUGAUCGGCGCGUGCGUUCCUGGCGCCCAUAGAUUUAUUAUAUGCAUCACGGCUCUCCUCGUUUUAAGUAACCAGCAAUACUAGAAACAUCAAACGAAUAUUUUCAUCAUCCCAAUUAUUAUUCACGUAAUGAUCGUUAAAAAGACGAAUUUUAUAAUGAUGUAUUUUUCGCAAUAUUAUGGUAUUAAUUUUAUGCAGUAAUACUAAUGUCCUUCUGUGUGGUGGUAGAAUGAAUAUUUAUUUACAAGAAACAUGAUACCUCGUAAUUGAAGAGAGAAAUCCUUUGAAAUAUAACCUGAACAAUAACGACCUCCUAACGAACUUGUCGAUGUAAUGGAACGUUACUCAUUCGAUUUCUACGAAAGCGAGGACCGCAUCAUUCCAAUUUAGAACUUAUUGCAGAAGCCAUAUGGUUACCGUGAUAUUAUGUUUAAUAUUUAUAGAGUAGCUCUGAGUUUGUUUGGCAACAAACCAUGGGAGUGUGGAGUCAUUCAUUCAGUCCGCUCCGUCGUAUGUCGAAACAUCUCAGUAGUUCUGUUUCACAAUCACAGUCUCCAUUAGACACUUCUUCCGGAUCUAUUUAGGUUGCGCAUCGAGGUUAUAAUAUAAGCCACCAUGAAAUGAACAAAGGGUAUGUUUAAUAUGAUUUAUUUUCAACAAAAUUUCAUAACACUAAUCUUAUCGUAUAAGUGCAGACUACACAAAGAGCACCUAAGCCAUAAACUGACCUAAUUUAUUAUCUAGGUAGCUAUUGAUGUUUAUUAACAAAAUAGUUUACUCAUAAAAACUUUGUUUACAGUGCUUCACUAGACGUCACGUAGUAAGAAAUUUGAUACA
Long non-coding RNA from Galleria mellonella (greater wax moth), 955 nucleotides. RefSeq lists it as uncharacterized. The transcript has 3 exons. The record is from RefSeq and is a predicted model, not a curated record. Lineage: Eukaryota; Metazoa; Arthropoda; Insecta; Lepidoptera; Pyralidae.